GACGAACGCUGGCGGCGUGCUUAACACAUGCAAGUCGAACGGAAAGGCUCCAGCUUGCUGGAGUACUCGAGUGGCGAACGGGUGAGUAACACGUGGGUAAUCUGCCCUGCACUCUGGGAUAAGCCUGGGAAACUGGGUCUAAUACUGGAUAUGACCUUUCUCCUUAUGGGGUUUGGUGGAAAGUUUUUCGGUGUAGGAUGAGCCCGCGGCCUAUCAGCUUGUUGGUGGGGUGAUGGCCUACCAAGGCGACGACGGGUAGCCGGCCUGAGAGGGUGAUCGGCCACAUUGGGACUGAGAUACGGCCCAGACUCCUACGGGAGGCAGCAGUGGGGAAUAUUGCACAAUGGGCGGAAGCCUGAUGCAGCGACGCCGCGUGAGGGAUGACGGCCUUCGGGUUGUAAACCUCUUUCAGCAGGGACGAAGCGUAAGUGAUGGUACCUGCAGAAGAAGCACCGGCUAACUAUGUG
This 467-nucleotide ribosomal RNA is filed under the name uncultured bacterium. RNAcentral's name for it is "partial 16S ribosomal RNA". It matches the Rfam family "Bacterial small subunit ribosomal RNA", at positions 28 to 507 of the family's 1533-position model. The record is from RNAcentral.